This 253-nucleotide ribosomal RNA is filed under the name uncultured bacterium. RNAcentral's name for it is "partial 16S ribosomal RNA". It matches the Rfam family "Bacterial small subunit ribosomal RNA", at positions 524 to 776 of the family's 1533-position model. The record is from RNAcentral.
UACGUAGGGUGCAAGCGUUGUCCGGAAUUAUUGGGCGUAAAGAGCUCGUAGGCGGUCUGUCGCGUCGGCUGUGAAAACUCGGGGCUCAACCCCGAGCCUGCAGUCGAUACGGGCAGACUAGAGUGCUGUAGGGGAGACUGGAAUUCCUGGUGUAGCGGUGAAAUGCGCAGAUAUCAGGAGGAACACCGGUGGCGAAGGCGGGUCUCUGGGCAGUAACUGACGCUGAGGCACGAAGGCCAGGGGAGCAAACGGG